GACGGGGGGUCCAAGCGUUGUUCGGAAUCAUUGGGCGUAAAGCGGGCGUAGGUGGCCAUGUAAGUCAGGAGUGAAAGCCCUGGGCUCAACCCAGGAAGUGCUUUUGAUACUGCAUGGCUUGAAUGUGGGAGAGGGUAGUGGAAUUCCAGGUGUAGUGGUGAAAUACGUAGAUAUCUGGAGGAACACCGGUGGCGAAGGCGGCUACCUGGCCCAACAUUGACACUGAGGCCCGAAAGCGUGGGGAUCAAACAGG
Molecule: ribosomal RNA, 253 nt
Filed under: uncultured bacterium
Lineage: Bacteria
Description: partial 16S ribosomal RNA
Rfam family: Bacterial small subunit ribosomal RNA
Source: RNAcentral